Molecule: transfer RNA, 77 nt
Filed under: Clostridiaceae bacterium
Lineage: Bacteria; Bacillati; Bacillota; Clostridia; Eubacteriales; Clostridiaceae
Also listed under: 1 other name
Description: tRNA-Arg
Rfam family: tRNA
About the family: Transfer RNA (tRNA) molecules are approximately 80 nucleotides in length. Their secondary structure includes four short double-helical elements and three loops (D, anti-codon, and T loops).
Source: RNAcentral
GUGCCCAUGGCUCAAUUGGAUAGAGCACUCGGCUACGGACCGAGGGAUUAGGGGUUCAAGUCCUCUUGGGCACGCCA